RNAcentral lists this long non-coding RNA (668 nucleotides) under Homo sapiens (human). Its description in RNAcentral is "non-protein coding PCBP1-AS1:287". Lineage: Eukaryota; Metazoa; Chordata; Mammalia; Primates; Hominidae. The record is from RNAcentral.
GAACACAAAAUGGCGACACGUGGUUAGCAUUCGUCGCCAACGAGAAAUUGGGGUCGGCCCGAAAGCUCUAGAAUGCACCCCUCUUCCUCCCCGGGGCCUUCCACCUCCGCGAGUUUUAUGACUUAAAAAAGCCCACAGGCUGGUCUGAAGGUCGGAGGCCUAAUUUUAACGCGUUUUCCUCCCUUUAAUUUGAAACGGGAACGCGAAUGACUGUAAAAUAGGAAGACAAACAUAAAGAUGAAGUGCUUAAUUCAAGGUCACACAAUGUCGGGGAUGGACCUCCAGAUUUCCUUACUGACCUGCAUUAUCUUGUGGAUACCUGAGUGAAUUCCACACCACCCAUUUUAUAGAUGAAACCACUGAGACAUGGAGCAAUUGACUGAGUAGUCACUGCCCCACCCCUGCCUGGAGCCUCACACAUGACUCGCCUCCUCUCAGUGACCACAGGUGAGACGUGGUCUUGUAACACAGUGGUUAAGAAUGUGACUUUGGAGCCAGCCUGCUAGGGGCUGAAUUCUGACUCAGCCAUUUACUAACUGUGUGACCUUAGGGAGGAGGACCUGGUUGAUAGAAGAAUUUAUCUCGUAGUCUUAACAUCCACUGUAAUUCCAAACUUUGAGGACGAUAGAGAUCAGUGGGCUUUGACUGCCCAGCAUGCAGUCUCCAUU